UGCUUGAUGAGGUUAUCAAGGUGAUGGUGGCUUCAAAAAGUCUUUCUUUUUUCUUUUUGUUGGAAAAACCAAGAUCAGUUGAUAGAAGUCUCUUACAUAAUAGGGAAUUAUUGUGAAAGAAUGGUUUACAAGGUGCAACGUAAAGGGAACUCUUUGUUCUUCUCUUUUAUAUAAUGGAGUUGUAUAUGAUGUACACAACACAUAAAUAUGCAUUUUAAAUAUACUGUUCCUUUUUUCUUUUUGGCCAAAGAACUGUUCUUGCUGAGUAAAAUAAAUAUGGAUGUUCAUCAUUUCUAACUGUUUAAUCUGCAUGUCUCCCCUGUUUUUCCACAUUAUAGAUA
RNAcentral lists this unclassified non-coding RNA (341 nucleotides) under Hevea brasiliensis (rubber tree). Lineage: Eukaryota; Viridiplantae; Streptophyta; Magnoliopsida; Malpighiales; Euphorbiaceae. The record is from RNAcentral.